RNAcentral lists this ribosomal RNA (628 nucleotides) under uncultured Russulaceae. Its description in RNAcentral is "LSU rRNA". It matches the Rfam family "Eukaryotic large subunit ribosomal RNA", at positions 47 to 649 of the family's 3401-position model. The record is from RNAcentral. Lineage: Eukaryota; Fungi; Basidiomycota; Agaricomycetes; Russulales; Russulaceae.
UAAGCGGAGGAAAAGAAACUAACAAGGAUUCCCCUAGUAACUGCGAGUGAAGCGGGAAAAGCUCAAAUUUAAAAUCUGGUGGUCUUUGGCCAUCCGAGUUGUAAUCUAGAGAAGCGUCUUCCGCGCUGGACCGUGCACAAGUCUCCUGGAACGGAGCGUCGUAGAGGGUGAGAAUCCCGUCUUUGGCAUGGACACACCAGGGCUUUUGUGAUGCGCUCUCGAAGAGUCGAGUUGUUUGGGAAUGCAGCUCAAAAUGGGUGGUGAACUCCAUCUAAAGCUAAAUAUUGGCGAGAGACCGAUAGCGAACAAGUACCGUGAGGGAAAGAUGAAAAGCACUUUGGAAAGAGAGUGAAACAGUACGUGAAAUUGUUGAAAGGGAAACGCUUGAAGUCAGUCGCGUCGACCGAGACUCAGCCUCGCCUCGGCUUGGCGUACUUCUCGGCCCGACGGGUCAGCAUCAAUUUCGCCUCUUGGAUAAUGGCGAGGGAAACGUGACACCUUUACGGUGUGUUAUAGUCUCUCGUCGCAUGCAAGGGUCGGGAUUGAGGAACUCAGCACGCGCCUUUGGGCGUCGGGGCUUUGCCUACGAUACGUGCUUAGGAUGUUGGCGUAAUGGCUUUAAACGACC